GACGAACGCUGGCGGCGUGCUUAACACAUGCAAGUCGAACGGAAAGGCCCUGCUUUUGUGGGGUGCUCGAGUGGCGAACGGGUGAGUAACACGUGAGUAACCUGCCCUCGACGUUGGGAUAACUUCAGGAAACUGGGGCUAAUACCGGAUAGGAGCUCCUGCUGCAUGGUGGGGGUUGGAAAGUUUCGGCGGUUGGGGAUGGACUCGCGGCUUAUCAGCUGGUUGGUGGGGCAGUGGCUUACCAAGGCUUUGACGGGUAGCCGGCCUGAGAGGGUGACCGGCCACAUUGGGACUGAGAUACGGCCCAGACUCCUACGGGAGGCAGCAGUGGGGAAUAUUGCACAAUGGGCGGAAGCCUGAUGCAGCAACGCCGCGUGCGGGAUGACGGCCUUCGGGUUGUAAACCGCUUUCGCCUGUGACGAAGCGUGAGUGACGGUAAUGGGUAAAGAAGCACCGGCUAACUACGUG
This 468-nucleotide ribosomal RNA is filed under the name uncultured bacterium. RNAcentral's name for it is "partial 16S ribosomal RNA". It matches the Rfam family "Bacterial small subunit ribosomal RNA", at positions 28 to 507 of the family's 1533-position model. The record is from RNAcentral.